This 252-nucleotide ribosomal RNA is filed under the name uncultured Rhogostoma. Its description in RNAcentral is "partial 18S ribosomal RNA". Lineage: Eukaryota; Cercozoa; Thecofilosea; Cryomonadida. The record is from RNAcentral.
GAUUUCUGGCGAACCGUUGCGGCCCGUGCCCGUUUCGGGCGUGUGUGCCGUGUCGUGUUUGUCAUUCUUCCAGAAAGCUGCGUCUACCAUUCACUUGGCCGGGCAUACGCGAUCUGGAAAAAUUAGAGUGUUUAAAGCAGGAUUAUGCUGUGAAUACAUUAGCAUGGAAUAAUAAUUUAGGACGGUUCUAGGACUGAAGUAAUGAUUGACAGGGACAGUUGGGGGUGCCAUUCUUGGAUUCGCGGAAGCACA